GCCACUCGCUCAUGUAGAUGCAGCUGGACGGGGAGAUCUCUCCUCCUUCGUGGCAGUCGUGGAACACCUGCAGAGAAGACAGACAGGUGCGGCCUCCCCUGACCGCAGUCAGGACUUCAGGACUUCACCACAGUAAUGAUCAGCAGGUUCAGCUCUGAGAACGAACAGAACCGCUACAGGUUUCACUGCUGCCAGAGAUUUUAAUCAUGUCAGCUUGAAGGCAGAGCUGCCCACACCAACUCCAACUUCAGACUGGGUUCCAGAGACGCCGGUACCAGGCCUGAUGUCACCGUUUCUGAUUCCUUCAUCUACCGGCCUGAGGGAACCUGAACGCACCAUCCAUCAGAGCCUCACAAGCUGCCUGGUGAUGCCUCUCUGCAGCCGCAGCAUUGAUGUCAAACAAACUGGGACAUUUUGAACAUACAGACCUGGAAUUACUCGCCGGCAGCCUUCUGUUGCAUGAAGACCUGCACUGACAACGUCACAGUGACAAAUGUAUCCGAGUCUUCCCAAACAAAAAGGCAGAGCGGAGAAGUCUGCUUAGAGAAAGGAACGCUGCCUUCAAGUGUGGAGCUGAGGCCCUGCAGCUCGGCACGGAGAGAACGGAUCGGAAAACGGGACGACCAGAAGGACGGACAGGUUAGGGUGGGAAUCCAGCUGGAGGCACUUCUCACCGGCACAGAAGUUGAACCACUUCUUUGCUCGUCUUGAGUGAAGACAGUAGAAAACUACAAAUGUCUUGGGACUAUUAGUUAAAGUUUAUAUUGAACCUGGAAAAAAAGGGCCAGCAAAGAUUGUUUUGUCUAAGAAAGCUCACAAAGUUUCAGGUUGAUAAGUCAAAGAUGAUCCUAGUUUAUAGAUCAUAUGUUGACGUUUUCUCUCCUCUGUUGGUUUGGUCAUCUUAGUAUUCAGCAGAGUAAUAAAUACUAGUAAUAAGAUCCGAGGGUUGAACAAUGCUCACUUACAGAACUGAUCAAUAAAUGGACCAUCCUUACUGACGGCGCUCAGACUCUGCGUAUGAACAGCAACAGUAACAGUAGCAGCUCUUUUGUUCAUACGGGACCCGGCGGAGGGACUCUCACCCGACUUAUUUUACAUUUUUUAAUGUAAAAAGUUUUUAAUUGAAAAACACGGCGAGCCGCUGGAUGGAUGACGGGCCGAGCGCCAACCACCGGGCUCAGAAGGUUUUCUGGGAGAAACCUUAGCAUGCAUCCGCUUCUCUGAUUUCAGCUCUGCUUUCAUGGCAUCCUCCCUGACAGACCGGUACAAGCUGGCAGGCCUUGGAAGCCCCUCUCCCACCUGUUGCUGGAUUAAGGACUUCCUUACGAAUCACACACAAACAGUCAGAGCGGGCCUCUGUAGCUCCGCAGGGCUGCGUGCCGAGCCCUCUGCUCUUCACGCUUCCAGACCACCAAAGUAGCACCUUGUUAAACUUGCAGACGACGACAGCAGGGGGUCUGACCUCAGGGGAGACCGUCCAAAGCUCAGCCAAGACCAAGGAGCUCGUCCUGGACUUUAGGAGAAGUAAAGGAGACAUUCAACUGCUGGACAGAGGCCGGGUGGGGAGGGCCAGACUUCUGCUUCCUGGGGGUUCAUUUCAUGGAUAAACAGGCCUGGAGCUGAAACACAGCAGAACGGACAAAGACGGCCCGGAGACUCCAAGUCCUGCUCCAAGUCCUGCUCCAAGUCCUGCUCCAAGCUGCUGGAGGUUUUCCAUCGAUGCUCCACUGAAAGCAUCAGCUGCUGCUGCCUCUGACAGACGGACAGUUCAAACCCAGCAGCCCUGCGGUUUCUAGUCGCCAUGGCUACCGUUUACCG
Xiphophorus maculatus (southern platyfish) is the source of this 1818-nucleotide long non-coding RNA. RefSeq lists it as uncharacterized. The record is from RefSeq and is a predicted model, not a curated record. The transcript is spliced from 2 exons. NCBI's taxonomy places the organism in Eukaryota, Metazoa, Chordata, Actinopteri, Cyprinodontiformes, Poeciliidae.